GUCUAAGGCCAUGCCACCCUGAACAAGCCCGAUCUCGUCUGAUCUCAGAAGCUAAGCAGGGUCGGGCCUGGUUAGUACUUAUAUGAGAGACCACCUAGGAAGACCAGGUGCUGUAGGCG
Molecule: ribosomal RNA, 119 nt
Filed under: Pteropus alecto (black flying fox)
Lineage: Eukaryota; Metazoa; Chordata; Mammalia; Chiroptera; Pteropodidae
Source: RNAcentral